UACGAAGGGGGCGAGCGUUGUUCGGAAUUACUGGGCGUAAAGCGCACGUAGGCGGAUUUGUUAGUCAGGGGUGAAAUCCCGGGGCUCAACCUCGGAACUGCCUUUGAUACUGCAAAUCUCGAGUCCGAUAGAGGUGGGUGGAAUUCCUAGUGUAGAGGUGAAAUUCGUAGAUAUUAGGAAGAACACCGGUGGCGAAGGCGGCCCACUGGAUCGGUACUGACGCUGAGGUGCGAAAGCGUGGGGAGCAAACAGG
RNAcentral lists this ribosomal RNA (253 nucleotides) under uncultured bacterium. RNAcentral describes it as "partial 16S ribosomal RNA". It matches the Rfam family "Bacterial small subunit ribosomal RNA", at positions 524 to 776 of the family's 1533-position model. The record is from RNAcentral.